Molecule: transfer RNA, 60 nt
Filed under: Colobopsis nipponica
Lineage: Eukaryota; Metazoa; Arthropoda; Insecta; Hymenoptera; Formicidae
Description: tRNA-Ser
Source: RNAcentral
GAAGUAAAUUACUUGAACUUCUAAUUCAAAACUUAAUGACCCUAAAAUCAUUUUACUUCU